RNAcentral lists this ribosomal RNA (468 nucleotides) under uncultured bacterium. RNAcentral's name for it is "partial 16S ribosomal RNA". It matches the Rfam family "Bacterial small subunit ribosomal RNA", at positions 28 to 507 of the family's 1533-position model. The record is from RNAcentral.
GACGAACGCUGGCGGCGUGCUUAACACAUGCAAGUCGAACGGAAAGGCCCUGCUUUUGUGGGGUGCUCGCGUGGCGAACGGGUGAGUAACACGUGAGUAACCUGCCCUUGACUUUGGGAUAACUUCAGGAAACUGGGGCUAAUACCGGAUAGGAGCUCCUGCUGCAUGGUGGGGGUUGGAAAGUUUCGGCGGUUGGGGAUGGACUCGCGGCUUAUCAGCUUGUUGGUGGGGUAGUGGCUUACCAAGGCUUUGACGGGUAGCCGGCCUGAGAGGGUGACCGGCCACAUUGGGACUGAGAGACGGCGCAGACGCCGACGGGAGGCAGCAGUGGGGAAUAUUGCACAAUGGGCGGAAGCCUGAGGCAGCAACGCCGCGUGCGGGAUGACGGCCUUCGGGUUGUAAACCGCUUUCGCCUGUGACGAAGCGUGAGUGACGGUAAUGGGUAAAGAAGCACCGGCUAACUACGUG